UAUACUCCCUCCGUUUCAUAAUAUAAGGCGUUUUGGACUAAAUGUUUUGUUUCACAAUAUAAGUCGUUUUCGAGUUUCGAUGCAUAUUAUAUAUUAUUUUAAUAUUUUAUGAUCAUUUAUAUUAUGCAGUCUCUUUUAUGAUAGGUUGAACUUUUUAAAAGUAGAUCUUCUUAAUCGGCGUGUUUUUACCUAAAACGACUUAUAUUUUGAAACGGAGGGAGUAU
RNAcentral lists this long non-coding RNA (224 nucleotides) under Arabidopsis lyrata. RNAcentral's name for it is "long non-coding RNA (ALYR_LNC002271)". The record is from RNAcentral. Lineage: Eukaryota; Viridiplantae; Streptophyta; Magnoliopsida; Brassicales; Brassicaceae.